RNAcentral lists this ribosomal RNA (313 nucleotides) under uncultured bacterium. Its description in RNAcentral is "bacterial SSU rRNA". It matches the Rfam family "Bacterial small subunit ribosomal RNA", at positions 772 to 1079 of the family's 1533-position model. The record is from RNAcentral.
ACUAAAUAGAUACCCGGGUAGUCCACGCCCUAAACGAUGUCUACUAGUUGUUGGUGGAGUAAAAUCCAUUAGUAAACGCAGCUAAACGCGUGAAGUAGAUCGCCUGGGGAGUACGGUCGCAAGAUUAAAACUCAAAGGAUUGACGGGGGCCCGCACAAGCGGUGGAUUAUGUGGAUUAAUUCGAUGCAACGCGAAAAACCUUACCUGGCCUUGACAUGCCACUAACGAAGCAGAGAUGCAUUAGGUGCCCGAAAAGGGAAAGUGGACACAGGUGCUGCAUGGCUGUCGUCAGUUCGUGUCGUGAGAUGUUGGG